Molecule: ribosomal RNA, 497 nt
Filed under: uncultured bacterium
Lineage: Bacteria
Description: partial 16S ribosomal RNA
Rfam family: Bacterial small subunit ribosomal RNA
Source: RNAcentral
GAUGAACGCUGGCGGCGUGCCUAAUACAUGCAAGUCGAACGAACAGAUGAGGAGCUUGCUCCUCUGCCGUUAUUGGCGGACGGGUGAGUAAAACGUGGUUAAUAUACCUAUAAGACUGGGAUAAUUUCGGGGAACUGGCGCUGAUAACGGAUAAUAUAUUGAACAGCAUGGUUCAAUAGUGCAUGACGGUUUUGUCGAAACUUAUAGAUGGAUCCGUGCCGCCUUAGCUGGUUGGUAAGGUAACGGCAUAACAAGGCAGCGAUGCGUAGCCGACAUGAGAGGAGGAUCGGCCACACGGGAAGAGAGACACGAUCCAGACCCCUGCGGUAGGCAGCAGUAGGGAAUCUUCCGCAAUGGGCGAAAGCUGGACGGUGCAACGCCGCGUGAAUGAUGAAGGUCUUCGGAUCUGAAAACUCUGUUAUUAGGGAAGAACAAAUGUGUAAGUAACUAUGCACGUCUUGACGGUACCUAAUCAGAAAGCCACGGCUAACUACGUG